CUACAAAGUUCACUGGUGACUGAGAAGAAACCACUGGGCGUAUCAAUUAAGACACUGUUAGGGCUCUAUGAGUCAGCAUACAGAUCUCCCAAGUCCAGGACAAGUUACUACAAUCAUCUGAUUCGUGGCCACUAGUAAUCAUGAUAGAAUGCCUGGGUUGGAAUUCUAGGCCUGCCACUUACUAGCUAUGUGACUUGGACAAGUUAACUUUUUUUUUCUGUGCCCCAGUUGGAGAUAAUACCUUUACUGCUUCAUGUGGUUAUGAUGAGGAUCUGAUAAACAUCACAAUAGCACUUACCCAAUAGUACACACACAAUAGCACAUCACAAUAGCACUCACCCACAAUGGAACUUAGAACAAUUAUUGAUAUAUGAUCAGCUCUCAGUAUGUGUAAACUAUGACAUGCAGGCCAAUUCACCUAGAAAGGCCUAUUUUCAAAAGCUCAUGUCCUCUGAAUUGAGGAACCACAGAUCAGAUCAGCCUCUUCAACCCCCCGCGAGGCUCCCAUUCAUGUAAGACACCCAUGGCUUUGUAAUGGCACCCAACGCUCUGGGCUGGCAUGAAAAUUGUGUGACUCACAUCAUGUGCCUCCCCAAGAAGAGUUUCUUAGCAGGCAUUUUGGAGGAAAAGAUUUGGAUCAGAAAUUCAGAAAUUACCUGGGCUCACAAAUAUAUGCCCCUCCAGCACCAUCCUGCAUUCUGCUUCCAAGAUACAUGAGCUUUCUGAAGAGCUGGUGAGAAUGCUGAAACUUCCUGGCCUUGGUUUCCCAUCUGGUAAAAUGAGGAAGACCAAAGCUUAACUCUCACAAGGAAUAUGCAGAUGAGGAAACCGAAGCUCUUGGGGUAACACGACUUGUGAAACUGCAUGCUACUCCUCAGUGGCAGGGUGGGGACUCUGGACAGAGGAACUGGCAAGGUCUUCUAGACCUUUGACGUGCAUAAACUGGCAGGUUUACAGAAUAACGAGGAAAACAAAGUGAAACAAAAGACUGUACCCGUGUGCUAAGAAUUUAUUACCCGCACAUCAAAAAACUUAUCCAUCACGAUCAAGCUGGCUUCAUCCCUGGGAUGCAAAGCUGGCUCAGCAUAUGCAAAUCAAUAAACAUAAUCCGUCACAUAAACAGAACCAAAGACAAAAACCACAUGGUUAUCUCAGUAGAUGCAGAAAAGGCCUUUGAUAAAAUUCAACAUCCCUUCAUGUUAAAAACUCAAUAAACUAGAUAUUGAUGGAACAUAUCUCAAAAUAAAAGAGCUGUUUAUGACAAACCCACAGCCAAUAUCAUAUUGAAUGGGCAAAAGCUGGAAGCAUUCCCUUUGAAUACUAGUACAAGCAGGGAGAAGUCUAAGAGACAAAAUCAAUAAGGCUAGAGAAGAUUGGCUUUCUCUGGAUACUGUACCUUAUCCAUGUGAACAGGAGAUUUUAUAGUGACUUGUUUCAGUAUAAACAAAGAGGACUGGAAUAACUGAUUGCUGAGGACUCCAAUCAUGGCAGCACUGUAUGAUAUGAAUGUAAAAUAAGCAUGACUGACUGCAACAAGAAGGCAGCCUGAAUCUACCUGAAGAAUCCUCAGGCCAUCCGAUUUGAUGAUAUAGUCAGUAGGAUUGUUUGGUUUGCUAGUAACAUAAAUUCAAAGCUUCAGGAAGGAGACUGGGCACAGCGGCUCAUGCCUGUAAUCCCAGCACUUUGGGAGGCCAAGGCGAGUGGAUCAUUUGAGGCCAGCAGUUCUAGACCAGCCUGGCCAAUAUGGUGAAACGCCGUCUCUACUAAAAAUACAAAAAUCAGCUGGGCAUGGUGGCACAUGCUUAUAAUCCCAUCUACUCAGGAGGCUGAGGCAUAAGAAUCGCUUGAACCCAAGAGGUGGAGGUUGCAGUGAGCCAAGAUUGUGCCACUAUACUCCAGCCUGGGUGACAGAGCAAGACUCUGUCUCAAACAAAACAAAACAAAACAAAACAAAACAAAACAAAAACAACAAAACACACACACACAAACACCAAAGCUUCAGGAAAAAAAAGGCAGACUAAAUUAUAUGGCCUGUCACAUGACUCACUGUCAGUGUUCCUUGAAUGAACCAUGAGACACCCCAGACUUGGAAUAAAUGCAAUUGAUCUGGACAUUGAGAAGACAAUAGGCUUUUUCUCUUCAAUAUGCAGAAGACUUCUGUAUUAAUCUGUUCUCAUGCUGCUAAUAAAGACACACCCA
This 2199-nucleotide long non-coding RNA is filed under the name Homo sapiens (human). Its description in RNAcentral is "HSALNT0292865". Lineage: Eukaryota; Metazoa; Chordata; Mammalia; Primates; Hominidae. The record is from RNAcentral.